UACGAAGGGGGCUAGCGUUGUUCGGAAUCACGUGGCGUAAAGGGCGCGUAGGCGGCUAUUCAAGUCGGGGGUGAAAGCCUGUGGCUCAACCACAGAAUUGCCUUCGAUACUGUUUGGCUUGAGACCGGAAGAGGACAGCGGAACUGCGAGUGUAGAGGUGAAAUUCGUAGAUAUUCGCAAGAACACCAGUGGCGAAGGCGGCUGUCUGGUCCGGUUCUGACGCUGAGGCGCGAAAGCGUGGGGAGCAAACAGG
This 253-nucleotide ribosomal RNA is filed under the name uncultured bacterium. RNAcentral describes it as "partial 16S ribosomal RNA". It matches the Rfam family "Bacterial small subunit ribosomal RNA", at positions 524 to 776 of the family's 1533-position model. The record is from RNAcentral.